CAUUACAUGACAGUACUAAGUGUGCAACUCAUUACCAUUUCAGACAUUUUAUCGCUCGUUAAGUAACACCUGCCUGGCAUUAAAGUUUUAAUAAGUUGAAACAAUAGCAACAUAGCAAGAUGUGCCUUUCGCUCGAUUGUGACGAUUGUUGCUGCCUGGCCGCUCUCACUUUUUGUUUACUACCCUGCUGUUGUUCGAAAAGGCAAGAACAACAACCACCGCAGACCGUCAUCAUCCAACAGCCUCCUGUAGUAGUAGAACAGCCACCUCCACCUAAUUACCCCUAUCCUCAGCCUGGAGGGUAUCCGUACCCCCCGCAAGGUUACCCUGGUUAUCCUCCUCAAGGUUAUCCUCAACAAUACCCGUCGGGGCCAAUGGCUAGAUGAUCGAGUUUUAGUGUAAUUUAAAUCUUAUAGUCUAACAUUAUAAGUAAGGAUGGGGUGUAAUAUGUCAGUCCGUCCGUGUUGCUGCUGUUGUAUCCCUUGUCUAUGCAUCGACUGCUGUACGGAACGUCCAAAACCUAACGUGGUCAAUGUCGUCCACGUAGUACAACCCAACUCUAGAGGUGAUCCACCUCCAAUCUAUAACGGACGGUGACUUUAAAGAAAUAUCGAUUUCAUAAAACGUAUACCUACUAUUUUUUAAUAUUAUGUGUGUAUGUGUUAUACAUAUGUUUAGGCACCAAUAUUAAGACGCAUUAAUUGUGCACAUACAAUAUUAUUUACUAGCAUAUCUGUUUUAUUACUCUGGAAAACAAAUUAAAAAUAAAAUUUAAGUAUUUUUUAUACAACAACUAUAGACAAAUUAUAUUAGAUUUUUUGAAUAGAUUGAUAUUUGAUAGAAUAUUACUUACAUUUCUGUAAACCCAUCUUAACAUGUUUAAUAAACUAUCGCCGAGUUGCACGAAUGA
Melitaea cinxia (Glanville fritillary) is the source of this 910-nucleotide long non-coding RNA. RefSeq lists it as uncharacterized. The record is from RefSeq and is a predicted model, not a curated record. The transcript is spliced from 3 exons. NCBI's taxonomy places the organism in Eukaryota, Metazoa, Arthropoda, Insecta, Lepidoptera, Nymphalidae.